AAGCACCAUUUGAAAAUGGAAAUAUUUUUUCUAGUAAAAUCAGUGUAUGUAUGUAUUUGCAAAACAGUAAAUUAAAUUUCCCUUAACAGCUUAAUGAACAUUACAAAGACUAUGUAAGACUUCAGUACAAGCAAGAUAAUAUAAACUGUUGCUUAAAAUUAUAUUUAUUGCUUCAUACACACAAUGUACAUACAAUGUAUCUUUUAUUUUUUAAGAGGAGCUAAAAGAAAAGCCACAAAGGACAAGUUCAAAAUGCAGGUUUACAAUUUGGAAGUGGCGCAGGUUAUUUGGAAUGUCUACAACCUUUCAGGAGGAUUUUUUUUUGAAAAGCAUGGCACAGCAAGAAAAAGAUAUAAGACACUACAAGACAUUCCAAGUGAUUUUGAAUAAGACAAUUGAUUGACUUUUUCAAUGUAUUCUUAAAUAAAUCAAAUAGUUGAUGUAAAA
Mytilus californianus (California mussel) is the source of this 447-nucleotide long non-coding RNA. RefSeq lists it as uncharacterized. The record is from RefSeq and is a predicted model, not a curated record. Lineage: Eukaryota; Metazoa; Mollusca; Bivalvia; Mytilida; Mytilidae. The transcript is spliced from 2 exons.